RNAcentral lists this ribosomal RNA (253 nucleotides) under uncultured bacterium. RNAcentral describes it as "partial 16S ribosomal RNA". It matches the Rfam family "Bacterial small subunit ribosomal RNA", at positions 524 to 776 of the family's 1533-position model. The record is from RNAcentral.
UACGGAGGGUGCAAGCGUUGUCCGGAAUCACUGGGCGUAAAGGGCGCGUAGGCGGCUUGAUAAGCGUGCGGUGAAAGCCCGGGGCUCAACCCCGGGUCGGCCGUGCGAACUGUCGAGCUGGAGCACUGUAGAGGCAGGUGGAAUUCCGGGUGUAGCGGUGGAAUGCGUAGAGAUCCGGAAGAACACCGGUGGCGAAGGCGGCUUUCUGGUCUGUAACUGACGCUGAGGCGCGAAAGCGUGGGGAGCAAACAGG